Molecule: long non-coding RNA, 273 nt
Filed under: Homo sapiens (human)
Lineage: Eukaryota; Metazoa; Chordata; Mammalia; Primates; Hominidae
Description: non-protein coding lnc-AHR-7:1
Source: RNAcentral
UAAUCAAGCAAUGUAAAAAUCGUUAAGUGAGAAACAAGCUCUUACAAUAUUGAUGAGUAAAAGAAUAAGAUCUUCUCAGGUGAAUUCAUAAUAAAUAUCAGAUGCUGAGCUAUGAAACUGAACCCAAAACAUGAAUUAACAUUCGAAUGCAGUGUUAUCCAGCUUUUAAACAUUCCAUCUAGCAAGAAAAGGACAGAAUAUAUGACAUUCUUCUUGGAUAUGCUUAUACUUCAGAGAAUUUCUCAAUGCCGAAAAUCUGUCAUUUUUUUCAAA